This 433-nucleotide ribosomal RNA is filed under the name uncultured bacterium. RNAcentral describes it as "partial 16S ribosomal RNA". It matches the Rfam family "Bacterial small subunit ribosomal RNA", at positions 29 to 507 of the family's 1533-position model. The record is from RNAcentral.
AACGAACGCUGGCGGCAUGCCUAACACAUGCAAGUCGAACGAGACCUUCGGGUCUAGUGGCGCACGGGUGCGUAACGCGUGGGAACCUGCCCUUAGGUUCGGAAUAACUCCCCGAAAGGGGUGCUAAUACCAGAUAAUGUCUUCGGACCAAAGAGUUAUCGCCUUUGGAUGGGCCCGCGUUGGAUUAGCUAGUUGGUAGGGUAAAAGCCUACCAAGGCGACGAUCCAUAGCUGGUCUGAGAGGAUGAUCAGCCACACUGGGACUGAGACACGGCCCAGACUCCUACGGGAGGCAGCAGUGGGGAAUAUUGGACAAGGGGCGAAAGCCUGAUCCAGCAAUGCCGCGUGAGUGAUGAAGGCCUUAGGGUUGUAAAGCUCUUUUACCCGGGAUGAUAAUGACAGUACCGGGAGAAUAAGCUCCGGCUAACUCCGUG